Molecule: ribosomal RNA, 376 nt
Filed under: uncultured bacterium
Lineage: Bacteria
Description: bacterial SSU rRNA
Rfam family: Bacterial small subunit ribosomal RNA
Source: RNAcentral
UACGUAGGCAGCAAGCGUUGUUCGGAGUUACUGGGCGUAAAGAGUGCGUAGGUGGUUCUCUAAGUUCGGUGUGAAAUCUCCCGGCUCAACUGGGAGGGUGCGCCGAAAACUGGAGAGCUUGAGUAUGGGAGAGGAGAGCGGAAUUCCUGGUGUAGCGGUGAAAUGCGUAGAUAUCAGGAGGAACACCAGUGGCGAAGGCGACUUUCUGGACUGUACCUGACGCUGAGGCGCGAAAGCAUGGGGAGCAAACGGGAUUAGAUACCCCGGUAGUCCAUGCCGUAAACGACGAAUACUAGGUGUAGGAGGUAUCGACCCCUUCUGUGCCGCAGUUAACACAAUAAGUAUUCCGCCUGGGGAGUACGGCCGCAAGGUUGAA